This 72-nucleotide transfer RNA is filed under the name Groenewaldozyma salmanticensis. RNAcentral's name for it is "tRNA-Ala". It matches the Rfam family "tRNA". Rfam says of the family: Transfer RNA (tRNA) molecules are approximately 80 nucleotides in length. The record is from RNAcentral. Lineage: Eukaryota; Fungi; Ascomycota; Dipodascomycetes; Dipodascales; Trichomonascaceae.
GGGAUUAUAAUUUAAUUGGUAAAAUACUAAUUUUGCAUAUUAGCUAUAGCAGUUCAAUUCUGCUUAAUUCCA